This 460-nucleotide ribosomal RNA is filed under the name uncultured bacterium. RNAcentral's name for it is "partial 16S ribosomal RNA". It matches the Rfam family "Bacterial small subunit ribosomal RNA", at positions 338 to 795 of the family's 1533-position model. The record is from RNAcentral.
CCUACGGGAGGCAGCAGUGAGGAAUAUUGGUCAAUGGACGAGAGUCUGAACCAGCCAAGUAGCGUGAAGGAUGACUGCCCUAUGGGUUGUAAACUUCUUUUAUAUGGGAAUAAAACGUUCCACGUGUGGGAUUUUGUAUGUACCAUAUGAAUAAGGAUCGGCUAACUCCGUGCCAGCAGCCGCGGUAAUACGGAGGAUCCGAGCGUUAUCCGGAUUUCUUGGGUUUAAAGGGAGAGUAGGUGGAUUGUUAAGUCAGUUGUGAAAGUUUGCGGCUCAACCGUAAAAUUGCAGUUGAAACUGGCAGUCUUGAGUACAGUAGAGGUGGGCGGAAUUCGUGGUGUAGCGGUGAAAUGCUUAGAUAGCACGAAGAACUCCGAUUGCGAAGGCAGCUCACUGGACUGCAACUGACACUGAGGCUCGAAAGUGUGGGUAUCAAACAGGAUUAGAUACCCGAGUAGUC